GGUUGUGUAGUGUAAUGGUUAGCACAUCAGAUUCUGAUUCUGAUAAUCCCGGUUCGAUCCCGGGCACGACCU
RNAcentral lists this transfer RNA (72 nucleotides) under Aspergillus tanneri. It matches the Rfam family "tRNA". From Rfam's summary of the family: Transfer RNA (tRNA) molecules are approximately 80 nucleotides in length. Their secondary structure includes four short double-helical elements and three loops (D, anti-codon, and T loops). Lineage: Eukaryota; Fungi; Ascomycota; Eurotiomycetes; Eurotiales; Aspergillaceae. The record is from Rfam by way of RNAcentral.